Molecule: transfer RNA, 73 nt
Filed under: Dictyocaulus viviparus (bovine lungworm)
Lineage: Eukaryota; Metazoa; Nematoda; Chromadorea; Rhabditida; Metastrongylidae
Rfam family: tRNA
About the family: Transfer RNA (tRNA) molecules are approximately 80 nucleotides in length. Their secondary structure includes four short double-helical elements and three loops (D, anti-codon, and T loops).
Source: Rfam by way of RNAcentral
GUCUCGGUAGUGUAAUGGAUCAACACGAUAGACGGCAUAUCUGUAAGUGCGGGUUCGAGUCCCGUCUGAGGCU